Molecule: ribosomal RNA, 230 nt
Filed under: uncultured bacterium
Lineage: Bacteria
Description: partial 16S ribosomal RNA
Rfam family: Bacterial small subunit ribosomal RNA
Source: RNAcentral
AAAGCGUGCGCAGGCGGUUUUGUAAGUUUGUCGUGAAAGCCCCGGGCUCAACCUGGGAAUUGCGAUGAAGACUGCAAGGCUUGAAUCUGGCAGAGGGGGGUAGAAUUCCACGUGUAGCAGUGAAAUGCGUAGAGAUGUGGAGGAACACCGAUGGCGAAGGCAGCCCCCUGGGUCAAGAUUGACGCUCAUGCACGAAAGCGUGGGGAGCAAACAGGAUUAGAUACCCUUGU